This 483-nucleotide ribosomal RNA is filed under the name uncultured bacterium. RNAcentral's name for it is "partial 16S ribosomal RNA". It matches the Rfam family "Bacterial small subunit ribosomal RNA", at positions 30 to 506 of the family's 1533-position model. The record is from RNAcentral.
AUUGAACGCUGGCGGCAGGCCUAACACAUGCAAGUCGAGCGGAUGAAGGGAGCUUGCUCCUGGAUUCAGCGGCGGACGGGUGAGUAAUGCCUAGGAAUCUGCCUGGUAGUGGGGGAUAUCGUCCGGAAACGGGCGCUAAUACCGCAUACGUCCUGAGGGAGAAAGUGGGGGAUCUUCGGACCUCACGCUAUCAGAUGAGCCUAGGUCGGAUUAGCUAGUUGGUGGGGUAAAGGCCUACCAAGGCGACGAUCCGUAACUGGUCUGAGAGGAUGAUCAGUCACCCUGGAACUGAGAAACGGCCCAAACUCCUACGGGGGGCAGCGGUGGGGAUUUUUGGCAAUGGGGGGAAAGCCUGAUCCAGCCAUGCCGGGGGGGUGAAAAAGGUCUUCGGUUUGUAAAGCACUUUAAGUGGGGAGGAAGGGCAGUAAGUUAAAACCUUGCUUUUUUGACGUUACCAACAAAAUAAGCCCCGCCUAACUUCGG